CAGAGUUCACGCCCUUCGGGGCGGACCUCCCACCCUUUGUAUACAUUGCCUUUGUUGCUUUGGCGGGCCGCCGCAAGGCCACCGGCUCCGGCUGGUGCGCGCCCGCCAGAGGACCCAAACCCUGUCUUACAGUGUCGUCCGAGUACUAUACAAUAGUUA
RNAcentral lists this unclassified non-coding RNA (159 nucleotides) under uncultured Chalara. RNAcentral's name for it is "sequence contains ITS1". The record is from RNAcentral. Lineage: Eukaryota; Fungi; Ascomycota; Leotiomycetes; Helotiales.